This 230-nucleotide non-coding RNA is filed under the name Gossypium arboreum. RNAcentral's name for it is "Eukaryotic small subunit ribosomal RNA". It matches the Rfam family "Eukaryotic small subunit ribosomal RNA", at positions 152 to 381 of the family's 1831-position model. Lineage: Eukaryota; Viridiplantae; Streptophyta; Magnoliopsida; Malvales; Malvaceae. The record is from Rfam by way of RNAcentral.
GUAAUUCUAGAGCUAAUACGUGCAACAAACCCUGACUUCUGGAAGGGAUGCAUUUAUUAGAUAAAAGGUCGACGAGGGCUUUGCCCCUUACUCUGAUGAUUCAUGAUAUCGACGGAUCGCACGGCCUUUGUGCCGGCAAUGCAUUAUUCAAAUUUUUGCCAUAUCAACUUUCGAUGGUAGGAUAGUGGCCUACUAUGGUGGUGACGGGUGACGGAGAAUUAGGGUUCGAU